UAUACAAUUGAUGUUUUUAAUAUGUUGAAUUAAUUGGAGUUUAUUUACUUUGGAUUUAAUAUUUUGUGUUUUUAGGUGAAAUUUAAAUUUUAAUUAAGUCUUGUUUUUAUUUCUCUUAAAAUCUUGAUUUAAACUAGGAUUAGAUACCCUAUUAUUUUGUUUAUAAAUUUUUUUGGGUAGUAUUAGGUAUGUUCUUUAAACCCAAAGAAUUUGGCGGUGUUUUAGUCUAUUUAGGGGAAUUUGCCCUGUGAUCGAUAAUCCUCGUUUUAUCUUACUUGAUUUUUAAGGUAUGUAUAUCUCCGUUAUAAGUUUAUUUUAUUAGACUAUUUACUUAAUAAUUUAUUAAUUAUUAUUUC
This 356-nucleotide ribosomal RNA is filed under the name Phanocloidea lobulatipes. RNAcentral describes it as "partial 12S ribosomal RNA". Lineage: Eukaryota; Metazoa; Arthropoda; Insecta; Phasmatodea; Diapheromeridae. The record is from RNAcentral.